RNAcentral lists this ribosomal RNA (301 nucleotides) under uncultured bacterium. RNAcentral's name for it is "partial 16S ribosomal RNA". It matches the Rfam family "Bacterial small subunit ribosomal RNA", at positions 509 to 807 of the family's 1533-position model. The record is from RNAcentral.
CAGUCGCCGCGGGAAUACGUAGGUGGCAAACGUUGUCCGGAAUUAUUGGGCGUAAAGGGCUCGCAGGCGGUUUCUUAAGUCUGAUGUGAAAGCCCCCGGCUCAACCGGGGAGGGUCAUUGGAAACUGGGAAACUUGAGUGCAGAAGAGGAGAGUGGAAUUCCACGUGUAGCGGUGAAAUGCGUAGAGAUCGGAAAGAACACCAACGGCGAAAGCACUCUGCUGGGCCGACACUGACACUGAGAGACGAAAGCUAGGGGAGCAAAUGGGAUUAGAUACCCCUGUAGUCCCUGUCUCUUAUAC